AAGCCGCCGCCGCCACCACCGCCUCACCCAAGCUUUCAUUUGUCAUGCUGGUUGCCCCCGCCUUAUCGUGUAAUGCCAUGUUGCCCCCGCAUCAUCAUCUAAGAUUUCGUUUGUCGUCCGCGCUGCAGUCUGCUUCCCGUUUCACUCUUAUAUUUUUUUGUUGGACGGAGUUGUUUUGCAUCGUUUCGAUCUGUACCGUACUGUUUCCCCUCUUGUUCAUAACGGCGGCGACACAAAUUCUUGCGUGCUGCGCCGCUCACGCAAGGAGGGAUAAAUCGACUCGUCAAGAAAUCGUUUCAGUUGCCAUGACUCCAGUAGGCAAUAUGAUUGUUGCUUGACUACAGUUUUGUCUUCCACUACUUAGCUUAUUUGUUUGUUUUAUUCUUACCUCGCCCGUAUUUUCUUUGUUUUAUUCUUACCUCGCUCCCGAUUUUAAGAUCUAAUUUGGUAUCUGCACGGUGCUUACCCCGGGCUUGUCGGAUGUACUUGAAGAAGGAAGCCCCAAUGUCUGUGCUAGAUCCACUAUGCCAUUCAGUGUUGCAGGCCCUGAUGAAUUUUGUGAUUGGUCUGUGUCAAAGCAAUGGAUACAAAUUUUCGUAAUAGACCAUUUCUUUAUUAUGUUUGGUUUGAUGAUUCGUUUGAUUGAUUGAUGGCAGUGAUUUGACAUUACCCGCGCUUCUGAUCUAACCCGUGAAGCAAAGGGAAAAUUAAUGGUUGAAUUUCUUAAUAUGAGCCAUCUAGUGAUCUUUCAGCUGUCUCCUUUUAUUUUGUGCGUGAGCUCAUUUCAUUCAUGUGGUUGAUUUGGCGGUGAUGAUACAACCAUUCAGCUUACAACGCCAGUUCUGCUUCUGAUAAGUCAUGACAGAUAAAGCUGAUUCAUAUCUGAGCCUUGAUUUGUGUCAUGUUCUGACAAACUCAUAAUUAGGAUCAUGCAUUUUUUCUUGCUCCAAACCUUACAUCCCGUUGGCCACUGAAGUCAACCCAAUGUUUCGAGGCUACAAUCGGCUCCAACUACAUGCUUGUCAGGCGGUAUCAUAAACUGAUUUUUUGUGGUUCAGUUAGACGAGAGCGAUGAAGAGCAACUUUUGUGAACUAGAGUUUCAGAUGCUACCAUGGUGACUUUUUUCUGGGAUGGAGCUCAUAUUUGCAGGUGAUUGAUUCAUCUUGGGGCUGAGAUUGAAAUAGGGUAUUUCAGUGAUUCAAAAUAAUUCUUGGUGUACAUCAUCAUUAGUUUUGUAUUGUUUUAUUUACACA
Molecule: long non-coding RNA, 1254 nt
Filed under: Zea mays
Lineage: Eukaryota; Viridiplantae; Streptophyta; Magnoliopsida; Poales; Poaceae
Source: RNAcentral